GCUCCGCUAGCUCAGUAGGCAGAGCGUGUGGCUGUUAACCACAAGGUCGGUGGUCGAACCCAU
This 63-nucleotide transfer RNA is filed under the name Perkinsus marinus ATCC 50983. It matches the Rfam family "tRNA", at positions 1 to 62 of the family's 71-position model. Rfam says of the family: Transfer RNA (tRNA) molecules are approximately 80 nucleotides in length. Their secondary structure includes four short double-helical elements and three loops (D, anti-codon, and T loops). Lineage: Eukaryota; Perkinsozoa; Perkinsida; Perkinsidae. The record is from Rfam by way of RNAcentral.